GCAAACUUGGUCAUUUAGAGGAAGUAAAAGUCGUAACAAGGUUUCCGUAGGUGAACCUGCGGAAGGAUCAUUAACAAAUCAUCUGUAUAUUGUUGUGUGUGUGUGUUGUGGUGUGUGUGUAUGUGUUUGUGCGCUACGUCCGCGUGGUGCACGUCAUUAUCACCAUCAUCAUCAUCAUCAUCAUAUAACAACAUAUAUAUACAUUAGUGCCUCUGCGCACACCAUGUGUACCAGUGUUUAAUUUGUGAUUACGCAAUUAUAUAUAACAACUUUUAACAAUGGAUCUCUUGGCUCUUGCAUCGAUGAAGAACGCAGC
RNAcentral lists this unclassified non-coding RNA (316 nucleotides) under uncultured fungus. RNAcentral describes it as "partial contains small subunit ribosomal RNA, internal transcribed spacer 1, and 5.8S ribosomal RNA". The stretch from base 1 to 73 matches the Rfam family "Eukaryotic small subunit ribosomal RNA", at positions 1759 to 1831 of the family's 1831-position model. The record is from RNAcentral. Lineage: Eukaryota; Fungi.